AACGAACGCUGGCGGCAGGCCUAACACAUGCAAGUCGAGCGCACCUUCGGGUGAGCGGCGGACGGGUUAGUAACGCGUGGGAGUAUACCCGACACUAAGGAAUAGCCUCUGGAAACGGAGAGUAAUACCUUAUACGCCCUUGGGGAAGGAUUAUCGGUGACGGAUUAGCCCGCGUUAGAUUAGAUAGUUGGUGGGGGUAAGU
RNAcentral lists this ribosomal RNA (202 nucleotides) under uncultured Alphaproteobacteria bacterium. Its description in RNAcentral is "partial 16S ribosomal RNA". It matches the Rfam family "Bacterial small subunit ribosomal RNA", at positions 29 to 263 of the family's 1533-position model. The record is from RNAcentral. Lineage: Bacteria; Pseudomonadati; Pseudomonadota; Alphaproteobacteria.